GACGAACGCUGGCGGCGUGCCUAAUACAUGCAAGUCGAGCGAGCGGAACUAACAGAUUUACUUCGGUAAUGACGUUAGGAAAGCGAGCGGCGGAUGGGUGAGUAACACGUGGGGAACCUGCCCCAUAGUCUGGGAUACCACUUGGAAACAGGUGCUAAUACCGGAUAAGAAAGCAGAUCGCAUGAUCAGCUUUUAAAAGGCGGCGUAAGCUGUCGCUAUGGGAUGGCCCCGCGGUGCAUUAGCUAGUUGGUAAGGUAAAGGCUUACCAAGGCGAUGAUGCAUAGCCGAGUUGAGAGACUGAUCGGCCACAUUGGGACUGAGACACGGCCCAAACUCCUACGGGAGGCAGCAGUAGGGAAUCUUCCACAAUGGACGCAAGUCUGAUGGAGCAACGCCGCGUGAGUGAAGAAGGUUUUCGGAUCGUAAAGCUCUGCUGUUGGUGAAGAAGGAUAGAGGUAGUAACUGGCCUUUAUUUGACGGUAAUCAACCAGAAAGUCACGGCUAACUACGU
RNAcentral lists this ribosomal RNA (511 nucleotides) under uncultured bacterium. RNAcentral's name for it is "partial 16S ribosomal RNA". It matches the Rfam family "Bacterial small subunit ribosomal RNA", at positions 28 to 506 of the family's 1533-position model. The record is from RNAcentral.